Sarcophilus harrisii (Tasmanian devil) is the source of this 1733-nucleotide long non-coding RNA. RefSeq lists it as uncharacterized. NCBI's taxonomy places the organism in Eukaryota, Metazoa, Chordata, Mammalia, Dasyuromorphia, Dasyuridae. The transcript is spliced from 4 exons. The record is from RefSeq and is a predicted model, not a curated record.
CAUAAACAGACAAACAACAACAGCAACAAAAGGUGGCACAGUGGAUUGAGUGACAGGCCCAGAAUCAGAAGGACGUCUCUUCCCAAGUUCAAAUCCAGCCUUAGACACCAAACUAGCUGUGUGAAGGAAACUAAGCAUCUGUAAAAUGAACUGAAGAAGGAAAUGGCAAAACCACUCCAGUAUCUUUGCCAAGAAAAUCACAAAAGGAAUAACAAAAGUCAUACACAAUUGAAAUGACUGAACAACAAAACAAAAAGCAAACGACUAUUCCUGGAGCAACAGAGAAGACCGAGACUCGUGUUUAUUGCUAUAAUCAAAUAAAACCUACAACAAAGUUAAUCUGACCUAUAUUAAUGAAAUGCUUACGAAUCAUUGGGCUGAAUGGUCACAGAUCCCUUGCAGUCAGUAAUAAAGGGACUAACAUCUGCCAUCUGGGAUUCCAAGGGAUAGAAGAGAGAAGAUAUAGGUUGUGCAUAUACACAGCUUAGCAGGGCAACUGGCCAAGAAGAAAGAGAGGAUCCAGUUAGCCUUCUCUGAGUCAUGGGAGGUGAGACAUUCUACUGUUUAUAAGCUUAUAGGACAACAUAAAUCUGGAAGAGCCGAGAUUUGAGAGGGAAUGAAUAGAAACAUAGAAAGAAGUUGUGGACUCAGACUCCUUUUUCCCCUUUUCAUAUUCUUUCUCUAUCUUCCUCCUAAGAUUCUUGAAGUAUAUCCAUCCUUCCCAAACAAGAGCUUGGUGGUAUGGUCAUAACUUGUUAAAUACUGUAAUUAAAAUACUUCCUUUAUUAACUUAGUGAUAACACUUUUUUUCUUCUUCUUAAAUUACAUGUUAGCAUUUUGUUAAUUAAAUUUCCAGUUCCAACAGAACUCCCCCCAUAGGGUGUGUUAGUCGAGGAGGGGGCCCUGCACAGAGCAGCAGGGGUUGUGGUUCAGCAAGUUGGGCAGGUUUUUGCCUUUCUAAGAGUUAGACCGUCCUUCCUUCCACUGUAAGAUGGUGGGAAGUAGUCAGUUAAACAGCAGAGGAAUACAUGGAGAUAAAGUUGCCUUCUCACCUUGAACCAGAAAACCAUAAUCCUGAAAAGAGAAAUCAGAACUUUCCUUUUCUUAAAAUCUUGAUUCAUUUUUCAGAAGAAAUUGAGAUUUCAUAAUUGCUUUUGGUUUUGAAGGCCUGGGUGUAAUGAGCUAUGUGUUUCCAUAAACAUUUAUGCUGUAUGUUUUUAUACACAACACAUUUUUAUUAUUAUUUUUCUUCUUUCCACUUGUUAGAUCAUAAAUUCCUAAGGUUUAGAAACCAUAUUUUCUGUUCUUUGAUAUCUCCCCCACUUUCACUCUAGCAUAUCCCACACACCUAUCUAUCUCCACACAUAUACAUAUGCUCUCACAUAGAACUUAUGUCAGCUGAAUACUGAUGCUGUGGUUAAUUUUAUUCUUCUCUUCUCCUUCCCAAACUGAGAUGCAAACAAGAUGAGAAAUUUAUCCCCUGAAAAUUCUCUAGUGGCAAUGAAGAUACACAGACCUUCUCUUCCUUUUUCUGCUGUUACUGACCUUCAUAUUUCUGGUUUAAUUCAGUUCUAUAAGUGGUUAUUAAGCACAUACUGGGAAUGAAUGAGUGAAUGAAUAAUGAUUUUAAAAUGUAUUUAAGAAGCACUUAUAUGGAUGCUUAAAAGUUCUUAGUUUGUUUAAAAGAACUGUAUUAAAUGUUGGGGGCAGCUAGGUGGUCCAGUGAAUAGAGU